This is an RNA transcript of Lagenorhynchus albirostris (white-beaked dolphin), 2878 nucleotides long. It is a transcript of the gene named syntaxin 7, with no coding region annotated. The record is from RefSeq and is a predicted model, not a curated record. The transcript has 11 exons. NCBI's taxonomy places the organism in Eukaryota, Metazoa, Chordata, Mammalia, Artiodactyla, Delphinidae.
GCGCAGUGGGCGUUCCAGCGCCUCCACCCAUCAGCUGAGGCUCGUUGCUGGCGGCUCUGGGGCCCUUGGGUGGCCGGGGCCAAAGAAGGAGAAGGAAGCCGAGGACGUCGGGGUGACUGCUUAGAAAACUGCACAGCCCAUGAACAGCUGAUGAAAUUAGCGAACAAGCAAAUCAACUAUGUCUUACACUCCAGGAAUUGGUGGUGACCCUGCCCAGCUGGCCCAGCUUAUCUCUUCCAACAUCCAGAAGAUCACACAAUGUUCUGCAGAAAUACAGAGGACUCUGAAUCAACUUGGAACACCUCAAGAUUCACCUGAAUUGAGGCAGCAGCUGCAACAGAAGCAGCAAUAUACGAACCAACUUGCCAAAGAAACAGAUAAGUACAUUAAAGAGUUUGGAUCUCUGCCCACCACCCCCAGUGACCAGCGUCAAAGGAAAAUACAGAAGGAUCGCUUAGUGGCGGAAUUCACCACAUCACUGACAAACUUUCAGAAGGCGCAGAGACAGGCUGCUGAGAGAGAGAAAGAGUUUGUCGCUCGAGUAAGAGCCAGUUCCAGAGUGUCUGGUGGUUUUCCUGAGGAGAGCUCAAAAGAAAGGAAUCUUGUGUCCUGGGAAAGCCAAACUCAGCCUCAGGUGCAGGUGCAGGAUGAAGAAAUUACAGAGGAUGACCUCCGCCUUAUUCAGGAGAGAGAGUCUUCUAUUAGGCAACUCGAAGCUGAUAUUAUGGAUAUUAAUGAAAUAUUUAAAGAUUUGGGAAUGAUGAUUCAUGAGCAAGGAGAUGUAAUAGAUAGCAUAGAAGCCAAUGUGGAAAAUGCUGAGGUGCACGUCCAGCAAGCAAACCAGCAGCUGUCAAGGGCGGCAGACUAUCAGCGCAAAUCCAGGAAAACCCUGUGCAUCAUCAUUUUUAUCCUUGUUAUCGGAGUCGUAAUUAUCGGUCUCAUCAUAUGGGGAGUGAAAGGCUAAGAUUAUAAAGGAGCACAAUAUUGCACUACAUUAUGUAAAUUAUGUAGGAAGAUUCCUUUAAUCAUGUUUUAUUUCAGGAGAACUCUGCUUCCGUGGGACUUGAUACUUACCUCACACUUUUGCCACUGCAGUCUCAACAGAGGAGAUGUAACCACAUGGCCACCAUUCUGCAUCUUGCUGGAGUACUGGCGUACUCAAAAGUUUUUAUUUUGGCAAUCUUAAAAGGUUUUGCCGCUAAUAGGUAGAAGCUGCUUUGCUUGUCAUCAAAACUCAAUUUUUUCCACAAAAGAGUAGUCUUGAUUAGAAAAAAUAAAAUGAAAAACAAUACAGUAGCCAAUUUUUUUUAAGUUCUUAACAAAGGUUUUCUUUAGGUGAGUUUUAGAAUCUCUUUGAAAGAGUGAUGCUUACUUUCAUGACUGUCAACAUAUCUGAAUCUGUUUGAGUUGAACUGAGUCUCAAACUGAAGAACUUUCCUUAUCAAGUGACACAUAUUAUUCAUUUUAGUGUGUUCUGAAGACAUACUUGAACAACGCAGACUGAGAUUAACCAGCCUCUUUGCUUAAACUGAAUGACAGUGUGGCAUGAAGGGUUAAGCUGUUGUACUAGCCAUUAAAUAUUAAGAAAAUGUUCUGGUUUUGCACAAUGAUUAGUGGUAGAAAAAUAAGUGGUGCCGUUUCAACAUAAUGCAGCUUGUUUUACUAGGCGUGGGAUCAACCCUAAAAAAAUACAGAUAUGGACACAGAUGAAGCUUGGUCUGAGACAACAAACCAUGGAGGCAGCCUCUGGAGUCAGGAGCACUGAGUACACUGGGUGCCCGGCAGCUGUAUCUGUGUCGCUCACUGAGAACACUGCACCUGGAAGACGUUGCCACUGGGUCCUUCUUCAGGGUCUUCACUGCUUUUGUUAAAAAAUAGUAAAAUCGGGCUUCCCUGGUGGCGCAGUGGUUGAGAGUCCGCCUGCCGAUGCAGGGUACACGGGUUCGUGCCCCGGUCCGGGAGGAUCCCACGUGCCACGGAGCGGCUGGACCCGUGAACCAUGGCCGCUGAGUCUGCGCGUCCGGAGCCUGUGCUCUGCAAUGGGAGAGGCCACAACAGUGAGAGGCCCGCGUACCGAAAAGAAAAAGUAAAAUCUUGCACACAAAAAAUCAUGUUUUGAAUACCGAUCUAGACAAAUUUAUAAUGAAAAAUGACUUUUGAAAAUUUGUUCCACAAAAAUUAAUCUGUGGUUUGAGCAAGGAAAAUGCAGAGUAGUUUCUCUAGUUGGUGUGAUUUUCAUUUGUUUCUUCAUGUAGAAAAAGGAAUGUCACAAUAAAAACUAUAUAAAGGAAAAAAAGGUCAUUGUCCGCCGUAAUAAUGAAGAGCAAUUCACAAGGGCAACUUAUUCAGCAUUUAUUUUUUGAAAAGCAAAACUAUUUUUUACACAUGAUCAGGUUACUACAAUAAAAAUUAAAUUUCAGAAGGAGAUGAGAGUUGUUUGGGUAAGUUAUGAGUUAAAUGACAUUUUUAGUUCAUUUAAAUAUGAUGAAAAUUUCUCAUUAGUGGGAAAGAACAUCAUUAGGCAUCCUUUCCUGGAAAAAAAAAUUGCGUAUUUUCAUAAUUCACUUAGGAAAACAAAAAACUGACCUCUGGCUCCCAGACCUCUUCGGUACACCAUAAGAUUUGAGCAGCUUGACCUUGUAUUUCUCAGCAAGAAAAUAUAGCAAGAUUGGCACACACAGGAGCCUGAAAGUGUUACACUGGACCACUUCCUUGACAGAAUACAUCACAUUUCUGCUUAACGACUGUCCAGACAUAGUUCAUCAAUCAGUGAAGAGAAAACCAUUUCCCCCACUUUUUUAGGAAUCUGUGUCCUCAAAAUACUGUCACACAGGAAAUAAAGAAAUUGCCUGAUGUAAACCUGCAGGUUCAUCUUUCU